Long non-coding RNA from Hypanus sabinus (Atlantic stingray), 1076 nucleotides. RefSeq lists it as uncharacterized. The record is from RefSeq and is a predicted model, not a curated record. Lineage: Eukaryota; Metazoa; Chordata; Chondrichthyes; Myliobatiformes; Dasyatidae. The transcript has 3 exons.
GUAGUCGUCCGGUGGUGUAGUGGCAUCCGCACUGGACUUUGAGGCUACAAACUUAUCAAUCACCCCCCGCUGUGGACAUUUUCUGGAGGUCCAAGGUCCAUAUGUUCCACGAUCACUGGACUAUGUGUAUUAUUUUACACCUGGCACAAAAUGGAACAUUCAAGAAGCUUCAGAGGUUUGGAUUGCGGAGGAGCUGUUUGGGCCCCGAAGGUAAAUUGUAAACUCACUAAACAGUCCGAUAAUCUGCUGCUCAGGACGGGUUGGGGUUGGGUAAUGAGAAAUGAGAGAAGGUCAGCUGAGUGUUGGAAAAUGGUGAUCAGGGCCUUGGAUCUGGAAUGGGAUUGUUGAAGAGCACUUCCAGAGCUGGCCCAGGUUGGCAGCAGGCACAAUCAAGAAGGUUUGAGAAUAGUAGUCAAGGAGAGUCUGGACAGAGGGGAGUCCAUGGUUGGGGGUAGGUCUGGAAGGACCAAGGUUCAUGCCAAGGUAAGUGUUUGAAAUGAUUCAGGUCUGUGGUUUUUGCCAAUGAAUGCCAAAAUGGCUGGGGUGUGGUGUGAUUUAGUGAUCUGGGCCUCUAUAGGGGUACCAACAGCUGGGAGAAUCAGGCACCCUUGGGGGAAUUGGGAAAAUUGAGGAUCUAGGCCUUGAUGAAUGAUGGAGGAUAAGAAGAUCAAUGGGGGUAGCUAUCGGCUCUCAAGCCAAUGCUGCAUUACUAAAGCAUGGUUGCCUCAGGAGUACACAGUAUCCACCAAGGCUCAUUCCCAGAAUAACAUGGCCUAAUUCUCCCCACCUACAGAACAUGUCAGAUCAGCUUGGUACUCGCCCUGGGGAUGCCCAUCCAAUUUCCUGAGGGGGUAUGUAAAAUCCCUGGAAGAGUCAUUAUCACAUUUCACUUUGGAAUAAAUCAGCAAAAAUGGGCAUUCACCCAUUUUUAAAUCACAAAAUAUGCACAAAGUUGAAGCAAGCUUUAAGUACUACUAUCAUAAACAACCUUUUUGGCUAUUGUGUCUCCUGCGGGUCAACGAUUAUACACUUGUUAUUCCUACUCACGCAGAUCCUUGGAAAAUGUGAACUCCCUA